GUGGGGAAUAUUGGACAAUGGGCGAAAGCCUGAUCCAGCAAUGCCGCGUGAGUGAUGAAGGCCUUAGGGUUGUAAAGCUCUUUUACCAGGGAUGAUAAUGACAGUACCUGGAGAAUAAGCUCCGGCUAACUCCGUGCCAGCAGCCGCGGUAAUACGGAGGGAGCUAGCGUUGUUCGGAAUUACUGGGCGUAAAGCGCGCGUAGGCGGCUCAGCAAGUCAGGGGUGAAAUCCCGGGGCUCAACCCCGGAACUGCCUUUGAAACUGCUAGGCUAGAAUCCUGGAGAGGCGAGUGGAAUUCCGAGUGUAGAGGUGAAAUUCGUAGAUAUUCGGAAGAACACCAGUGGCGAAGGCGACUCGCUGGACAGGUAUUGACGCUGAGGUGCGAAAGCGUGGGGAGCAAACAGGAUUAGAUACCCGUGUAGUCC
Molecule: ribosomal RNA, 425 nt
Filed under: uncultured bacterium
Lineage: Bacteria
Description: partial 16S ribosomal RNA
Rfam family: Bacterial small subunit ribosomal RNA
Source: RNAcentral